AACACGGACCAAGGAGUCUAACAUGUACGCGAGUCAUUGAGACUGUAAAACUCAAAGGCGUAAUGAAAGUGAAGAUUCGAUUGCGAAUUUGAGGAGAGAUCCCGGCUCUGUGUGGCAUUCCGAAAGGUUUGCUGUGCAGGGUGGGCGCAUCUCCGGGACGUCUAUACCUCUGAAGGUGGGGCGUACCUAGAGCGUACACGUUGGGACCCGAAAGAUGGUGA
RNAcentral lists this ribosomal RNA (221 nucleotides) under Oxyrrhis marina. RNAcentral's name for it is "partial Eukaryotic large subunit ribosomal RNA". It matches the Rfam family "Eukaryotic large subunit ribosomal RNA", at positions 658 to 829 of the family's 3401-position model. The record is from RNAcentral. Lineage: Eukaryota; Dinophyceae; Oxyrrhinales; Oxyrrhinaceae.